Molecule: non-coding RNA, 57 nt
Filed under: unclassified sequences
Description: S15-Flavobacteria ribosomal protein leader
Rfam family: S15-Flavobacteria ribosomal protein leader
Source: RNAcentral
UAUAUUUGCAGCCUCAUUUUUGAGGUACAUAAGAAUCAUUUAAACAAUAUUGGAAUG